RNAcentral lists this ribosomal RNA (429 nucleotides) under Acidobacteriota bacterium. RNAcentral describes it as "Acidobacteria bacterium partial 16S ribosomal RNA". It matches the Rfam family "Bacterial small subunit ribosomal RNA", at positions 355 to 776 of the family's 1533-position model. The record is from RNAcentral. Lineage: Bacteria; Pseudomonadati; Acidobacteriota.
UGGGGAAUUUUGGACAAUGGGGGAAACCCUGAUCCAGCCAUCCCGCGUGUGCGAUGAAGGCCUUCGGGUUGUAAAGCACUUUUGGCAGGAAAGAAACGUCAUGGGUUAAUACCCCGUGAAACUGACGGUACCUGCAGAAUAAGCAUCGGCUAACUACGUGCCAGCAGCCGCGGUAAUACGUAGGGUGCAAGCGUUAAUCGGAAUUACUGGGCGUAAAGCGUGCGCAGGCGGUUCGGAAAGAAAGAUGUGAAAUCCCAGAGCUCAACUUUGGAACUGCAUUUGUAACUACCGGGCUAGAGUGUGUCAGAGGGAGGUGGAAUUCCGCAUGUAGCAGUGAAAUGCGUAGAUAUGCGGAGGAACACCGAUGGCGAAGGCAGCCUCCUGGGAUAACACUGACGCUCAUGCACGAAAGCGUGGGGAGCAAACAGG